GAUGAACGCUGGCGGCGUGCCUAAUACAUGCAAGUCGAGCGAACAGACGAGGAGCUUGCUCCUCUGACGUUAGCGGCGGACGGGUGAGUAACACGUGGAUAACCGACCUAUAAGACUGGGAUAACUUCGGGAAACCGGAGCUAAUACCGGAUAAUAUAUUGAACCGCAGGGUUCAAUAGUGAAAGACGGUUUUGCUGUCACUUAUAGAUGGAUCCGCGCCGCAUUAGCUAGUUGGUAAGGUAACGGCUUACCAAGGCAACGAUGCGUAGCCGACCUGAGAGGGUGAUCGGCCACACUGGAACUGAGACACGGUCCAGACUCCUACGGGAGGCAGCAGUAGGGAAUCUUCCGCAAUGGGCGAAAGCCUGACGGAGCCACGCCGCGUGAGUGAUGAAGGUCUUCGGAUCGUAAAACUCUGUUAUUAGGGAAGAACAAAUGUGUAAGUAACUAUGCACGUCUUGACGGUACCUACUCAGAAAGCCCCGGCUAACUACGUG
RNAcentral lists this ribosomal RNA (497 nucleotides) under uncultured bacterium. RNAcentral describes it as "partial 16S ribosomal RNA". It matches the Rfam family "Bacterial small subunit ribosomal RNA", at positions 28 to 507 of the family's 1533-position model. The record is from RNAcentral.